Molecule: ribosomal RNA, 406 nt
Filed under: uncultured bacterium
Lineage: Bacteria
Description: partial 16S ribosomal RNA
Rfam family: Bacterial small subunit ribosomal RNA
Source: RNAcentral
AUUGAACGCUGGCGGCAGGCCUAACACAUGCAAGUCGAGCGAGCGGCGGACGGGUGUGUAAUGUCUGGGAAACUGCCUGAUGGAGGGGGAUAACUACUGGAAACGGUAGCUAAUACCGCAUACCAUCAGAUGUUCCCAGAUGGGAUUAGCUAGUAGGUGGGGUAAUGGCUCACCUAGGCGACGAUCCCUACCUGGUCUGAGAGGAUGACCAGACACACUGGAACUGAGCCACGGUCCGGACUCCUACGGGAGGAGGCAGUGGGGAGUAUUGCACAAUGGGCGAAAGCCUGAUGCAGCCAUGCCGCGUGUGUGAAAAAGGCCUUCGGGUUGUAAGGCACUUUAAGCGGGGAGACGUUACCCGCAGAAGAAGCACCGGCUAACUCCGUGCCAGCAGCCGCGGUAAUAC